RNAcentral lists this ribosomal RNA (217 nucleotides) under uncultured fungus. RNAcentral's name for it is "partial small subunit ribosomal RNA". The stretch from base 91 to 217 matches the Rfam family "Eukaryotic small subunit ribosomal RNA", at positions 735 to 864 of the family's 1831-position model. Lineage: Eukaryota; Fungi. The record is from RNAcentral.
GCCCUGGCUGGGUGGUCCGGCCACUUCGGUCGGUACUGCUUUGGCUGGGGUUCACUUUCUGGUGAGCCAGCAUGCUCUUAAUUGGGUGUGUUGGGGAACCAGGACUUUUACUUUGAAAAAAUUAGAGUGUUCAAAGCAGGCAACCGCUUGAAUACAUUAGCAUGGAAUAAUAGAAUAGGACUUUGGUUCUAUUUUGUUGGUUUCUAGGACCGAAGUA